Molecule: ribosomal RNA, 1261 nt
Filed under: uncultured bacterium
Lineage: Bacteria
Description: bacterial SSU rRNA
Rfam family: Bacterial small subunit ribosomal RNA
Source: RNAcentral
CGACCGGGAGAACUUUCGGAAACGGAAGCUGAUACCGGAUAGGGACAGAGACGGCAUCGACUCUGUGUUAAAGGAGCUGAAAGGCUCCGCGCACGGAUGGACCUGCGGUGCAUUAGCUAGUUGGUGAGGUAACGGCCCACCAAGGCGACGAUGCAUAGCCGGUCUGAGAGGGCGGACGGCCACACUGGGACUGAGACACGGCCCAGACUCCUACGGGAGGCAGCAGUAGGGAAUUUUCGUCAAUGGGCGCAAGCCUGAACGAGCAAUGCCGCGUGAACGAGGAAGGUCUUCGGAUCGUAAAGUUCUGUUGAAGGGGAAAAAGAGCGGAGAGAGGAAAUGGUCUCCGAUUGAUAUUACCCUUCGAGGAAGUCACGGCUAACUACGUGCCAGCAGCCGCGGUAAUACGUAGGUGGCGAGCGUUAUCCGGAAUGAUUGGGCGUAAAGGGUGCGUAGGCGGCCUGCUAAGUCUGGAGUGAAAGGUACCGGCUCAACCGGUACAGGCUCUGGAAACUGGCGGGCUAGAGAGCAGGAGAGGGCGGUGGAACUCCAUGUGUAGCGGUAAAAUGCGUAGAUAUAUGGAAGAACACCAGUGGCGAAGGCGGCCGCCUGGCCUGUUACUGACGCUGAGGCACGAAAGCGUGGGGAGCAAAUAGGAUUAGAUACCCUAGUAGUCCACGCCGUAAACGAUGAGGACCAAGGGUUGGGGAGGACCCAGUGCUGCAGUUAACGCAGUGAGUCGUCCGCCUGGGGAGUAUGCACGCAAGUGUGAAACUCAAAGGAAUUGACGGGGGCCCGCACAAGCGGUGGAGUAUGUGGUGUAAUCUGAGGCAACGCGAAGAACCUUACCAGGCCUUGACAUAGGGUGCGAAGCUAUGGAGACAUAGUGGAGGUAAACAUCCAUACAGGUGGUGCAUGGUUGUCGUCAGCUCGUGUCGUGAGAUGUUCAGUUAAGUCUGGCAACGAGCGCAACCCUCGUGAUGUGUUACCAAUAUCGAGUUAGGGACUCACAUCAGACUGCCGGUGAGAAACCGGAGGAAGGCGGGGAUGACGUCAAAUCAUCAUGCCCCUUAUGGCCUGGGCUACACACGUACUACAAUGGCGGCGACAGAGGGCAGCGAGCCUGCGAAGGCAAGCGAAUCCCCAAAAAGCCGUCCCAGUUCGGAUUGGAGUCUGCAACCCGACUCCAUGAAGUUGGAAUCGCUAGUAAUCGCGGAUCAGCAUGCCGCGGUGAAUACGUUCUCGGGCCUUGCACUCACCGCCC